UCCAAAACGUGUUACCAUGAUAAUCUGAUGAAGAAAUCGUGGGAAUAUUGAGGGAAUCAAAGGAUUGAAGAGAGAGAGUGUUCUUAUCGUUUUUUUUUAAAGAGAAGAAAUUUUUGAGUUCUUGCACUUGGGAAAAAUCUGGGCAGUAAAGAGCAUUGUAGAAUCAUUCUAGGGGAGGAAAUAAACAUUUUGAGUGUGAGAAAUACAUUUAUAAAGCCUCGGAUUGUGAUUCACCAUUUUUAUCCAAGAAAAUGCAUAUUCUUGGAUAAUUUUGGAUUUAAGUGUGUUCAAGAGUGUAUGGUGUGUGUGGUUGGUGAUAAACAAGCUUAGGGGACUCCAAUAAUCGGUUUUGACGUGAAGAAAUGGGCUGAAAUGGUCUAGAGCAAGAAAAACUAAUUUUGAGCUCCAUUUUUGGCGGUACACCGGACUUGGAGAAGAAGACUUCGGAACAAGGGGUUACGGACAUCUUUUUGGGCUGGGGUCUAUUGAUUUGAAGUUCUGGACAUAAGGGGAUCAUUUUCCAAGCAAGAUAAGGAUUGGAAAGCAGCAAAAGUCAGCCAUAGAGUCGCCGUCGCCGGAGAAGAAGACAAAACCGGCGAUAUUUCCGGCGAACCCGAUCUGGGUGUUUACUGAGGAGCUAGUGGUCAUCGAGGUGACGCAGCGAGUGGUUCGAGACACGUCAGCGGAAAACGCACUGUGUAAGGUAAGAAGAGUGGACAUCUGCGCAUAGGGUGUACGUUAUGCGUACAACCUUGUUUUCUUAUUUGUUAGUUAUGUAAUUAUAUUUGUGACCUGAAUUGUUGCAUUAGGUUGACUAGCAUGAGGAUAGUGCUAGAGAUUUUAGUUAGUAGACAUGCUAAGAGGAUAGAGUAGGCGUGCUACUAGAUUUUAGCUGCUUGUGUGAGUAUAGCACUUGCAGGAAUUAUCUUGGGUGUGUAUAACUCAUGAUAAUAGGAUGCCACCACGGAACUGCCGAGUGUGAGUACAGCGCAGGCAGGGCAACGAUGUCUCGAGGGAACGGCCGAGUGUGAGUACAGCGCAGGCUAGACUAGUAGCCACCGUGGGAAUGCCGAGUGUGAGUACAGCGCAGGCAAGGCAGAUUACAUUUCAUGUCCGAUCAACAUGACUUGUUAGUAUUUAUGUGUGUGAGUGUAACUCACAUUAUGUUAGUGUGAUAUGGUGUUUAUAUAUCACACGAUGAUUAUUGUGCUUAUGAUGUUUAUUUAUGUUUAGUUGAAAGUUUAUGUUUUCUGGUUUGGGGAGUUAUGUCCUACAUAGCUCUUCUUACUGGGCGUUAGCUCACGGGUACUCUGUGUGCAG
Humulus lupulus (European hop) is the source of this 1320-nucleotide long non-coding RNA. RefSeq lists it as uncharacterized. The record is from RefSeq and is a predicted model, not a curated record. The transcript is spliced from 2 exons. Lineage: Eukaryota; Viridiplantae; Streptophyta; Magnoliopsida; Rosales; Cannabaceae.